This 254-nucleotide ribosomal RNA is filed under the name uncultured bacterium. Its description in RNAcentral is "partial 16S ribosomal RNA". It matches the Rfam family "Bacterial small subunit ribosomal RNA", at positions 524 to 776 of the family's 1533-position model. The record is from RNAcentral.
UACGAAGGGGGCUAGCGUUGCUCGGAAUCACUGGGCGUAAAGCGCACGUAGGUGGGUCGCUAAGUCGGGGGUGAAAUCCUGGAGCUCAACUCCAGAACUGCCUUCGAUACUGGCGAUCUUUGAGUCCGGGAGAGGUGGGUGGAACUGCGAGUGUAGAGGUGAAAUUCGUAGAUAUUCGCAAGAACACCCGUGGCGAAGGCGGCUCACUGGCCCAUUACUGACGCUGAGGCACGAAAGCGUGGGGAGCAAACAGG